This 28-nucleotide non-coding RNA is filed under the name Rattus norvegicus (Norway rat). Lineage: Eukaryota; Metazoa; Chordata; Mammalia; Rodentia; Muridae. The record is from RNAcentral.
UAGGCUCUCGGUUUUCAAUUAGGUCCUC